ACGGUAUUUAACCAGAAAGUCACGGCUAACUACGUGCCAGCAGCCGCGGUAAUACGUAGGUGGCAAGCGUUAUCCGGAUUUAUUGGGCGUAAAGAGAGUGCAGGCGGUUUUCUAAGUCUGAUGUGAAAGACCUUCGGCUUAACCGGAGAAGUGCAUCGGAAACUAGGAUAACUUGAGUGCAGAAGAGGGUAGUGGAACUCCAUGUGUAGCGGUGGAAUGCGUAGAUAUAUGGAAGAACACCAGUGGCGAAGGCGGCUACCUGGUCUGCAACUGACGCUGAGACUCGAAAGCAUGGGUAGCGAACAGGAUUAGAUACCCUGGUAG
RNAcentral lists this ribosomal RNA (324 nucleotides) under uncultured bacterium. Its description in RNAcentral is "bacterial SSU rRNA". It matches the Rfam family "Bacterial small subunit ribosomal RNA", at positions 472 to 793 of the family's 1533-position model. The record is from RNAcentral.